Molecule: long non-coding RNA, 676 nt
Organism: Passer domesticus (house sparrow)
Lineage: Eukaryota; Metazoa; Chordata; Aves; Passeriformes; Passeridae
Exons: 4
Source: RefSeq, a predicted model, not a curated record
UUUCAGCAGCCCCACUGGUCCAUCAGGAGCUCUGGGAGAUUUCCUGGGGGUUCAAGGAUUCAGUAACCUCAUGUGAGGCUUUGUACAUCACAGCCUUAAAGGAUGAGUGAUUUAAAGCUUGUCAGAAUAAAUCAAAUGAAUUUACAGGGAAGUCUGAUGCAGCAGAAGUCCCAGCACCUGUCUUCUGGUUUGGAACAUCAGAUCUGUUGAACAUCACCAACAAUCAUUCAUCUGGAAAUCUGCUGAUUAAAAAUAACUGAUUCAAGGUAUCCAAGAUUUGGCCCUAAAGCUAUUCCCAAUGCAGACCUCAAAAUUCAUCUCAGUUGAGCUAUCAAAUAGUUGACCUUCACCAAUUUCUAUUUAAGAUUUUUCAUUGUCAGAAUUUGAAGUUAUAAGGAAAAGAAAAUUCAUCAUGGCAAACACUGUUUGUGCUGCCCACCUUUUGUUCAGCAGGACACUUCAAGCCAUGAAGCAUCCCAUGUCCUUACAGCACCUGCAAGCCCUGGCAGUGCCAGGCACUCCUCCAGGACUGCUCUGACCCUGCAGACCUUUCAAGGAGAAGCAUAAAAAUAGCAGCCAGCCCAAAGCUCAGUGUCAGGUGGGUCAUAUAAAACACAAGGUGGAAUUUGAUUCCCAUCUCAGCUGCAUCAGUACUUGAAGGCACCUGACAUGUGAA